Non-coding RNA from Saimiri boliviensis boliviensis (Bolivian squirrel monkey), 648 nucleotides. NCBI's taxonomy places the organism in Eukaryota, Metazoa, Chordata, Mammalia, Primates, Cebidae. The record is from RefSeq and is a predicted model, not a curated record.
CUGAAGCAAAUUCUCAAGCUUCUCUGGAGCAGCUUUUGGUCACAUGAUCCUCUAUCAUGAGCCACAAAAGUCACUGGUUUCUGUGCUUUUCACCAACGUUCUUCCUGUAUGGUUGGACAAGAAGAAAGCAGAGAAAUGACAACAAGUGAGAUGUCUGUCCACACUAAAAAGCAUGAUUUUACUUAAAAUGUUCUAAGUGAGGUUGUCAAUGAAAAUCUGGAGUUUGAUGACUAUAGAAUGAAAAAACUACUGCAGCCUUGGCAAAUCAAGUGGCAUCCAGUUCCGAUAAAAUGGGCACAAGCUGAGGAAGAACUUUGGAGAAGGAAGACAAUACAUUCAGCUGUACACCUGUGAAGCCCACAGGACAUCCUGGGAUGCUCCAGAACUCCUACCACUCCCCAAAUCAUGGAGCACAGACAGUUACAAAACUACUGCAGGAGAAGUGCAACUGUCAGGAAUUAAGAAUGACACAUUCGCAUUUCCUGUAUAUGCAAGGGUCAGUCCAUUAAGAAACCACGUUAGAAUGUGGGCUGCAUUCCAGUAAUGCCUCAAGGUAAAACAUUCUCAUAUGAUGACCUGUGGAAUUUUCUUGGUCUUUUACACAAACAUCAGUAGAUAAACUGGGUUAUCUGGCAGGUUAUCCCAGAG